Molecule: transfer RNA, 73 nt
Filed under: Bacteroidota bacterium
Lineage: Bacteria; Pseudomonadati; Bacteroidota
Description: Bacteroidetes bacterium (freshwater metagenome) tRNA-Gln
Rfam family: tRNA
About the family: Transfer RNA (tRNA) molecules are approximately 80 nucleotides in length. Their secondary structure includes four short double-helical elements and three loops (D, anti-codon, and T loops).
Source: RNAcentral
UGUCCGAUAGUGUAAUUGGCAACACGACAGUCUCUGGAUCUGUAGACUCUAGGUUCGAACCCUAGUCGGACAA